This 732-nucleotide ribosomal RNA is filed under the name Escherichia fergusonii. RNAcentral's name for it is "partial 23S ribosomal RNA". It matches the Rfam family "Bacterial large subunit ribosomal RNA", at positions 2190 to 2916 of the family's 2925-position model. The record is from RNAcentral. Lineage: Bacteria; Pseudomonadati; Pseudomonadota; Gammaproteobacteria; Enterobacterales; Enterobacteriaceae.
CCUUGAAAUACCACCCUUUAAUGUUUGAUGUUCUAACGUAGGCCCCUUAUCGGGGUUGCGGACAGUGUCUGGUGGGUAGUUUGACUGGGGCGGUCUCCUCCUAAAGAGUAACGGAGGAGCACGAAGGUUGGCUAAUCCUGGUCGGACAUCAGGAGGUUAGUGCAAUGGCAUAAGCCAGCUUGACUGCGAGCGUGACGGCGCGAGCAGGUGCGAAAGCAGGUCAUAGUGAUCCGGUGGUUCUGAAUGGAAGGGCCAUCGCUCAACGGAUAAAAGGUACUCCGGGGAUAACAGGCUGAUACCGCCCAAGAGUUCAUAUCGACGGCGGUGUUUGGCACCUCGAUGUCGGCUCAUCACAUCCUGGGGCUGAAGUAGGUCCCAAGGGUAUGGCUGUUCGCCAUUUAAAGUGGUACGCGAGCUGGGUUUAGAACGUCGUGAGACAGUUCGGUCCCUAUCUGCCGUGGGCGCUGGAGAACUGAGGGGGGCUGCUCCUAGUACGAGAGGACCGGAGUGGACGCAUCACUGGUGUUCGGGUUGUCAUGCCAAUGGCACUGCCCGGUAGCUAAAUGCGGAAGAGAUAAGUGCUGAAAGCAUCUAAGCACGAAACUUGCCCCGAGAUGAGUUCUCCCUGACCCUUUAAGGGUCCUGAAGGAACGUUGAAGACGACGACGUUGAUAGGCCGGGUGUGUAAGCGCAGCGAUGCGUUGAGCUAACCGGUACUAAUGAACCGUGAGG